AGAGUUUGAUCCUGGCUCAGGAUGAACGCCGGCGGUGUGCUAAUACAUGCAAGUCGUACGCACUGGCCCAGCUGAUUGACGGUGCUUGCACCAGAUUGACGCUGGAUACCCAGUGAGUGGCGGACGGGUGAGUAACACGUGGGUAACCUGCCCCGGAGCGGGGGAUAACAUUUGGAAACAGAUGCUAAUACCGCAUAACAACGAAAACCACAUGGUUUUCGUUUGAAAGAUGGCAUAUGCUAUCACUCUGGGAUGGACCCGCGGUGCAUUAGCUAGUUGGUAAGGUAACGGCUUUACCAAGGCGAUGAUGCAUAGCCGAGUUGAGAGACUGAUCGGCCACAAUGGAACUGAGACACGGUCCAUACUCCUACGGGAGGCAGCAGUAGGGAAUCUUCCACAAUGGGCGCAAGCCUGAUGGAGCAACACCGCGUGAGUGAAGAAGGGUUUCGGCUCGUAAAGCUCUGUUGUUGGAGAAGAACGUACCUGAGAGUAACUGUUCAGGUAGUGACGGUAUCCAACCAGAAAGUCACGGCUAACUACGUGCCAGCAGCCGCGGU
Molecule: ribosomal RNA, 557 nt
Filed under: uncultured bacterium
Lineage: Bacteria
Description: bacterial SSU rRNA
Rfam family: Bacterial small subunit ribosomal RNA
Source: RNAcentral